RNAcentral lists this ribosomal RNA (251 nucleotides) under uncultured bacterium. RNAcentral's name for it is "partial 16S ribosomal RNA". It matches the Rfam family "Bacterial small subunit ribosomal RNA", at positions 524 to 776 of the family's 1533-position model. The record is from RNAcentral.
UACGUAGGGUGCGAGCGUUGUCCGGAAUUAUUGGGCGUAAAGGGCUCGUAGGCGGUUUGUCGCGUCGGGAGUGAAACUCAGGGCUUAACCCUGAGCCUGCUUCCGAUACGGGCAGACUAGAGGUAUGCAGGGGAGAACGGAAUUCCUGGUGUAGCGGUGAAAUGCGCAGAUAUCAGGAGGAACACCGGUGGCGAAGGCGGUUCUCUGGGCAUUACCUGACGCUGAGGAGCGAAAGUGUGGGAGCGAACAGG